GGUAUUGAAAUAAGAUUUUAAAUGAGUGCUAAGAGAAUGAUUAAACAAUUAAAAACUUUCUUUAAUUAAAUAAUUAAAUUUAAUUUUUUUUGUGCAAAAGCAAAAAUAAAAUUUAGGGACAAGAAGACCCUAUGAAUUUUUAUUAUUAAUAUUUUGCAAUUAAAUUAUUAAUAAUUUAAUUGGGGUGAUAAAAAAAGAAUAAGUAUCUUUUUAAAUUAUAAAAUAAGUUCCGUUUUUAGCGAUUAAAUGAAAAAAAUACUCUAGGGAUAACAGCGUAAUAAUUUUGGAUAGUUCAUAUAGAUAAAAUAGUUUGCGACCUCGAUGUUGGAUUAGGAUUCUUUUUUGGUGAAGAA
This 353-nucleotide ribosomal RNA is filed under the name Ixodes scapularis (black-legged tick). RNAcentral describes it as "partial 16S ribosomal RNA". The record is from RNAcentral. Lineage: Eukaryota; Metazoa; Arthropoda; Arachnida; Ixodida; Ixodidae.